ACUGCUGACGAGUCCCAAAUAGGACGAAAAGCGCAUCCUGAAU
Molecule: non-coding RNA, 43 nt
Organism: Schistosoma mansoni
Lineage: Eukaryota; Metazoa; Platyhelminthes; Trematoda; Strigeidida; Schistosomatidae
Source: Rfam